GAUGAAGGAACGUAGCGAAAUGCGAUAAGUAGUGUGAAUUGCAGAAUUCAGUGAAUCAUCGAGUCUUUGAACGCACAUUGCGCCCCCUGGUAUUCCGGGGGGCAUGCCUGUCCGAGCGUCAUUGCUGCCCUCAAGCACGGCUUGUGUGUUGGGCCUCCGUCCUCCUCCCGGGGGACGGGCCCGAAAGGCAGCGGCGGCACCGCGUCCGGUCCUCGAGCGUAUGGGGCUUCGUCACCCGCUCUUGUAGGCCCGGCCGGCGCUUGCCGACACAUCAAUCUUUUUUCCAGGUUGACCUCGGAUCAGGUAGGGAUACCCGCUGAACUUAAGCAUAUCAAUAAGCGGAGGA
Molecule: unclassified non-coding RNA, 346 nt
Filed under: soil metagenome
Description: partial contains 5.8S ribosomal RNA, internal transcribed spacer 2, and large subunit ribosomal RNA
Rfam family: 5.8S ribosomal RNA (bases 1-121)
Source: RNAcentral